This is a long non-coding RNA of Puntigrus tetrazona (Sumatra barb), 500 nucleotides long. RefSeq lists it as uncharacterized. Lineage: Eukaryota; Metazoa; Chordata; Actinopteri; Cypriniformes; Cyprinidae. The record is from RefSeq and is a predicted model, not a curated record. The transcript is spliced from 2 exons.
GGUUGUAAUUCACAUCGUUGAACGGCGAACAUCACGACCGCAAUUGUCCGUCAGAUGUUGGAUUUAGUUGCGCGAUCUCAUAGACGGUGAAUUUUUCGAACAGCACGUGCUUGGAGACCGGAAGCGGGCUCAACUGAGACGACUGACUGGCGACUAAGCGAGAGCGAUAACGUUACUCGAGCGUGCUCGGUAUGUGUCUCUGAUACUGCGGGGCGGAAAGUUGGGUGUCAAGGACCAGCGAAUACACAGCGAGGGAUGUGGUGUCGUUUUUAUACGAGCAGCGGUUCAAUGCCUUUUCCUCUUCCUGCUAUAUCAGUGAGACACUGAUUUCUGAAGAUGACGGGUAAAUCGGUCAAAGACAUUGACCGCUAUCAGGCUGUUCUCACGUCUCUCCUCGCGUUAGAGGAAAACAAGUUUUGCGCUGAUUGUCACGCCAAAGGUAACAUUAACAUUUCACAGUAUCGCUGCAGUGAACGAAUAAAAGAGAAACUGUUAGAAAA